Molecule: small nuclear RNA, 107 nt
Organism: Balaenoptera musculus (blue whale)
Lineage: Eukaryota; Metazoa; Chordata; Mammalia; Artiodactyla; Balaenopteridae
Source: Ensembl
GUGUUUGCUUGGACAGCACAUAUUCUAAAAUUGGAAAGAUACAGAGAAGACUAGCAUGGCUCCCGCACAAGGAUGACACGAAACUUCGUGACGCGUUCCAUAUUUUU